RNAcentral lists this ribosomal RNA (462 nucleotides) under uncultured Methanomicrobiales archaeon. RNAcentral describes it as "bacterial SSU rRNA". It matches the Rfam family "Archaeal small subunit ribosomal RNA", at positions 877 to 1338 of the family's 1478-position model. The record is from RNAcentral. Lineage: Archaea; Methanobacteriati; Methanobacteriota; Methanomicrobia; Methanomicrobiales.
CCCGCACAAGCGGUGGAGCAUGUGUUUAAUCGGACUCAACGCCGGGAAACUCACCAGAUAAGACAGCUGAAUGAUAGUCGGGCUGAAGACUCUACUUGACUAGCUGAGAGGAGGUGCAUGGCCGUCGUCAGUUCGUACUGUGAAGCAUCCUGUUAAGUCAGGCAACGAGCGAGACCCACGCCAACAGUUGCCAGCUCGUCCUCCGGGAUGGUGGGGACACUGUUGGGACCGCCUCUGCUAAAGAGGAGGAAGGAAUGGGCAACGGUAGGUCAGCAUGCCCCGAAUUAUCUGGGCUACACGCGGGCUACAAUGGGUGGGACAAUGGGUAUCGACACCGAAAGGUGAAGGCAAUCUCCUAAACCCAUCCGUAGUUCGGAUUGUGGGCUGCAACUCGCCCACAUGAAGCUGGAAUCUGUAGUAAUCGUGUCUCAAAAUGGCACGGUGAAUAUGUCCCUGCUCCUU